Molecule: ribosomal RNA, 1599 nt
Filed under: Salmonella enterica subsp. enterica serovar Saintpaul
Lineage: Bacteria; Pseudomonadati; Pseudomonadota; Gammaproteobacteria; Enterobacterales; Enterobacteriaceae
Description: partial 23S ribosomal RNA
Rfam family: Bacterial large subunit ribosomal RNA
Source: RNAcentral
GAUUGAAUUAGAAUUACCUGGAAAGGUAAACCACAGAGGGUGAUAGUCCCGUAUAAGUAAGAGAAGAUAAGAAUAGUGGUAUCCUGAGUAGGUCGGGGCACGUGAAACCCUGAUUGAAUCAAGCGGGACCAUCCGCUAAGGCUAAAUACUCCUGAGAGACCGAUAGUGAACCAGUACCGUGAGGGAAAGGUGAAAAGAACCGUGAAUAACGGAGUGAAAAAGAACCUGAAACCAUACGCUUACAAGCGGUCGGAGCCCUUAAGUGGGGUGACGGCGUGCCUUUUGCAUAAUGAGCCUACGAGUUACCGUUGCUGGCAAGGAUAAGGACUUCAGGUCUGGAUCCGUAGCGAAAGCGAGUCUUAAUAGGGCGCUUUAGUCAGUAGUGGUAGACGCGAAACCGUGUGAUCUACCCAUGGGCAGGUUGAAGUUUAGGUAACACUAAAUGGAGGACCGAACCGUUUAACGCUGAAAAGUUUUCGGAUGACCUGUGGGUAGGGGUGAAAGGCCAAUCAAACUCGGAAAUAGCUCGUACUCCCCGAAAUGCAUUUAGGUGCAGCGAUAUAUCAGUUACUUAGAGGUAGAGCUACUGAUUGGAUGCGGGGGCUUCACCGCCUACCAAUUCCUGACAAACUCCGAAUGCUAAGUAAUGAUUUAUAUCAGUGAGGGCAUGGGUGCUAAGGUCCAUGUCCGAGAGGGAAAGAACCCAGACCAUCAGCUAAGGUCCCCAAAUGUAUACUAAGUUGAAAAAACGCGGUUUGAUUGCCCAGACAGCUAGGAUGUUGGCUUGGAAGCAGCCAUUCAUUUAAAGAGUGCGUAACAGCUCACUAGUCGAGCGAUCGAGCAUGGAUAAUAAUCGGGCAUAAGUAUACUACCGAAGCUAUGGAUUUACGUUUAAAACGUGAGUGGUAGGGGAGCAUUCUAAUAGGGUUGAAGGUGAUUUGUGAGAAUUGCUGGACUAAUUAGAAAAGAAAAUGUAGGCAUAAGUAACGAUAAGGGGUGCGAGAAACACCCCCGCCGUAAGACUAAGGAUUCCUCAGCUAUGCUAAUCAGCUGAGGGUUAGUCGGGACCUAAGGCACACCCGAAGGGGGACGUCGAUGGCCAACGGGUUAAUAUUCCCGUACUACUUAUAAUUGUGAUGGAGUGACACAGUGAUGAAAGCACCGCCAGCUGACGGAAUAGCUGGUUGAAGCACGUACCUAUAGGUUUGAUAGUAAAAUGCGUCAGACUUGGAGAAAUGCGAUAGUACUCAGCGUCUACGGACAACGAGAUAGUGUGCCUAAGGGCUGUCAAGAAAAGCUUCUAAACUUAGAUUGUAAGUACCCGUACCGUAAACCGACACAGGUAGUCGAGGAGAGUAUCCUAAGGCGCUCGAGAGAUUCAUGGCUAAGGAACUAGGCAAAAUAGACCUGUAACUUCGGGAGAAAGGUCGCCAGCGCAAGCUGGCCGCAGUGAAAAGGUCCAGGCGACUGUUUAUCAAAAACACAGGGCUCUGCAAAAUCGUAAGAUGAAGUAUAGGGCCUGACACCUGCCCGGUGCUGGAAGGUUAAGAGGAGAUGUUAUCGAUGAUUAAUUGUUGAGAAGCAUUGAAUUGAAGCCCC